UACGAAGGGGGCUAGCGUUGCUCGGAAUGACUGGGCGUAAAGGGCGCGUAGGCGGAUGGCUUUGUCGGGCGUGAAAUUCCCGGGCUUAACCUGGGGGCUGCAUUUGAUACGUGUUGUCUAGAGUGAGGAAGAGGGUUGUGGAAUUCCCAGUGUAGAGGUGAAAUUCGUAGAUAUUGGGAAGAACACCGGUGGCGAAGGCGGCAACCUGGUCCUUGACUGACGCUGAGGCGCGAAAGCGUGGGGAGCAAACAGG
RNAcentral lists this ribosomal RNA (253 nucleotides) under uncultured bacterium. RNAcentral's name for it is "partial 16S ribosomal RNA". It matches the Rfam family "Bacterial small subunit ribosomal RNA", at positions 524 to 776 of the family's 1533-position model. The record is from RNAcentral.